UACGGAGGGUGCAAGCGUUAUCCGGAUUCACUGGGUUUAAAGGGUGCGUAGGAGGGCAGGGAAGUCCGUGGUGAAAUCCUAGAGCUUAACUCUAGAACUGCCGUGGAUACUCUCUGUCUUGAACCCCGUGGAGAUGAGCGGAAUAUGUCAUGUAGCGGUGAAAUGCUUAGAUAUGACAUAGAACACCAAUUGCGAAGGCAGCUCGUUACACGAAGAUUGACUCUGAGGCACGAAAGCGUGGGGAUCAAACAGG
This 253-nucleotide ribosomal RNA is filed under the name uncultured bacterium. Its description in RNAcentral is "partial 16S ribosomal RNA". It matches the Rfam family "Bacterial small subunit ribosomal RNA", at positions 524 to 776 of the family's 1533-position model. The record is from RNAcentral.